GAGUUUGAUCCUGGCUCAGAACGAACGCUGGCGGCGCGCCUAAUACAUGCAAGUCGAGCGAGAAGACGUAGCAAUACGUUUGUAAAGCGGCGAACGGGUGAGGAAUACAUGGGUAACCUACCCUCGAGUGGGGAAUAACUAGCCGAAAGGUUAGCUAAUACCGCGUACGCUUCUUGGACUUCGGUUCAGGGAGGAAAGCGAUACCGUGGGUAUCGCGCUCUUGGAUGGGCUCAUGUCCUAUCAGCUUGUUGGUGAGGUAACGGCUCACCAAGGCUUCGACGGGUAGCUGGUCUGAGAGGACGAUCAGCCACACUGGCACUGCGACACGGGCCAGACUCCUACGGGAGGCAGCAGUAAGGAAUAUUGCGCAAUGGGCGAAAGCCUGACGCAGCGACGCCACGUGGGGGAUGAAGGUCUUCGGAUUGUAAACCCCUUUCGGGAGGGAAGAUGGAAUGGGGUAACCCAUUCGGACGGAACCUCCAGAAGCAACCUCGGCUAA
Molecule: ribosomal RNA, 499 nt
Filed under: uncultured bacterium
Lineage: Bacteria
Description: bacterial SSU rRNA
Rfam family: Bacterial small subunit ribosomal RNA
Source: RNAcentral